GGGGCUUGCUCCUUGGGAAAGUGGCGCACGGCUGCGUAACGCGUAUGCAACCUACCUUAAUCAGGGGGAUAGCCCGAAGAAAUUCGGAUUAACACCGCAUAAAAACACAGGGUAGCAUUACCUAAUGUUCAAAUAUUUAUAGGAUUAAGAUGGGCAUGCGUGUCAUUAGCUAGUUGGCGGGGUAACGGCCCACCAAGGCGACGAUGACUAGGGGAUCUGAGAGGAUGACCCCCCACACUGGUACUGAGACACGGACCAGACUCCUACGGGAGGCAGCAGUAAGGAAUAUUGGUCAAUGGAGGCAACUCUGAACCAGCCAUGGCCGCGUGCAGGAAGACAGCCCUCUGGGUCGUAAACUGCUUUUAUUCGGGAAUAAACCUCAUUACGUGUAAUGAGCUGAAUGUACCGAAGGAAUAAGGAUCGGCUAACUCCGUGCCAGCAGCCGCGGUAAUACGGAGGAUCCAAGCGUUAUCCGGAUUUAUUGGGUUUAAAGGGUGCGUAGGCGGCCUGUUAAGUCAGGGGUGAAAGACGGUAGCUCAACUAUCGCAGUGCCCUUGAUACUGAUGGGCUUGAAUGAACUAGAGGUAGGCGGAAUGUGACAAGUAGCGGUGAAAUGCAUAGAUAUGUCACAGAACACCGAUUGCGAAGGCAGCUUACUAUGGUUUUAUUGACGCUGAGGCACGAAAGCGUGGGGAUCAAACAGGAUUAGAUACCCUGGUAGUCCACGCCCUAAACGAUGAAUACUCGCUGUUAGCGAUAUACAGUUAGCGGCUAAGCGAAAGCGUUAAGUAUUCCACCUGGGGAGUACGCCCGCAAGGGUGAAACUCAAAGGAAUUGACGGGGGCCCGCACAAGCGGAGGAGCAUGUGGUUUAAUUCGAUGAUACGCGAGGAACCUUACCCGGGCUUGAAAGUUAGUGAAUUAUCCAGAGAUGGAUAAGUGAGCAAUCACACGAAACUAGGUGCUGCAUGGCUGUCGUCAGCUCGUGCCGUGAGGUGUUGGGUUAAGUCCCGCAACGAGCGCAACCCCUAUGUUUAGUUGCCAGCACGUUAAGGUGGGGACUCUAAACAGACUGCCUGUGCAAACAGAGAGGAAGGAGGGGACGACGUCAAGUCAUCAUGGCCCUUACGUCCGGGGCUACACACGUGCUACAAUGGAUGGUACAGAGGGCAGCAAGCUGGCAACAGCAAGCAAAUCUCAAAAAGCCAUUCACAGUUCGGAUAGAGGUCUGCAACUCGACCUCUUGAAGUUGGAUUCGCUAGUAAUCGCGUAUCAGCAAUGACGCGGUGAAUACGUUCCCGGGCCUUGUACACACCGCCCGUCAAGCCAUGGAAGUUGGGGGUACCUAAAGUAUGUAACCGUAAGGAGC
Molecule: ribosomal RNA, 1368 nt
Filed under: Pedobacter sp. Bca39
Lineage: Bacteria; Pseudomonadati; Bacteroidota; Sphingobacteriia; Sphingobacteriales; Sphingobacteriaceae
Description: bacterial SSU rRNA
Rfam family: Bacterial small subunit ribosomal RNA
Source: RNAcentral